GAAGUGGGUAAAAAUCUGUAAAGCCACGUUACCAUUAGCACGCAGAGAGCCUUUUCUGGAGAUUGAAAGGAAGUUGAAGAGCUGGGUUAGCUAUCAUCGUAAGCUAUCAUCGUUAGUGAUGGCGUAAACCUGGCCAGCUGCUGUGUUAGAAGUUUGACUUCUCAGACUUACUGCCUGUGAAAAGCCCAACCAACCAUGUGAAGAAGAACUGAGGUUUGGGCCAACAGCCUCAGUUGAACUCCCAGCCAGCAGUCAACACCAACUUUUGCCAGCCACGUGAAGAAGGCCAUUUAAAAAGUGGAUUCUCCAGCCCACUGGAGCCACCUCAGGUGACUGCGUGUGGAGCAAAGAAAGGCUAUUUGAGCCCACAUUGCAAAAUUACAAGCAAAUAAAUAAAAUUAUUGUAGUUUUA
This 412-nucleotide long non-coding RNA is filed under the name Homo sapiens (human). Its description in RNAcentral is "HSALNT0375659". Lineage: Eukaryota; Metazoa; Chordata; Mammalia; Primates; Hominidae. The record is from RNAcentral.